UACGAAGGGGGCUAGCGUUGUUCGGAAUCACUGGGCGUAAAGGGCGCGUAGGCGGCCGAUCAAGUCGGGGGUGAAAGCCUGUGGCUCAACCACAGAAUUGCCUUCGAUACUGCAUGGCUUGAGACCGGAAGAGGUAAGUGGAACUGCGAGUGUAGAGGUGAAAUUCGUAGAUAUUCGCAAGAACACCAGUGGCGAAGGCGGCUUACUGGUCCGGUUCUGACGCUGAGGCGCGAAAGCGUGGGGAGCAAACAGG
Molecule: ribosomal RNA, 253 nt
Filed under: uncultured bacterium
Lineage: Bacteria
Description: partial 16S ribosomal RNA
Rfam family: Bacterial small subunit ribosomal RNA
Source: RNAcentral